This 652-nucleotide ribosomal RNA is filed under the name uncultured bacterium. Its description in RNAcentral is "bacterial SSU rRNA". It matches the Rfam family "Bacterial small subunit ribosomal RNA", at positions 43 to 691 of the family's 1533-position model. The record is from RNAcentral.
CAGGCCUAACACAUGCAAGUCGAGCGCAGCGCGGGGGCAACCCUGGCGGCGAGCGGCGGACGGGUGAGGAAUGCGUCGGAAUCUGCCUUGUUGUGGGGGAUAACGUAGGGAAACUUACGCUAAUACCGCAUAAGACCGAAAGGUGAAAGUGGGGGACCGCAAGGCCUCACGCGACAAGAUGAGCCGACGCCGGAUUAGCUAGUUGGUGGGGUAAAGGCCCACCAAGGCGACGAUCCGUAGCUGGUCUGAGAGGAUGAUCAGCCACACUGGGACUGAGACACGGCCCAGACUCCUACGGGAGGCAGCAGUGGGGAAUAUUGGACAAUGGGCGCAAGCCUGAUCCAGCCAUGCCGCGUGGGUGAAGAAGGCCUUCGGGUUGUAAAGCCCUUUUGUUGGGAAAGAAAUCCUGUCGGUUAAUACCUGGCGGGGAUGACGGUACCCAAAGAAUAAGCACCGGCUAACUUCGUGCCAGCAGCCGCGGUAAUACGAAGGGUGCAAGCGUUACUCGGAAUUACUGGGCGUAAAGCGUGCGUAGGCGGUUCGUUAAGUCUGUCGUGAAAGCCCUGGGCUCAACCUGGGAAUUGCGAUGGAUACUGGCGAGCUAGAGUACCGUAGAGGAUGGUGGAAUUCCGGGUGUAGCGGUGAAAUGCGU